UGGCGAACGGGUGAGUAACGCGUAAGAACCUGCCCUUGGGAGGGGAACAACAACUGGAAACGGUUGCUAAUACCCCGUAGGCUGAGGAGCAAAAGGAGAAAUCCGCCCAAGGAGGGGCUCGCGUCUGAUUAGCUAGUUGGUGAGGCAAUAGCUUACCAAGGCGAUGAUCAGUAGCUGGUCCGAGAGGAUGAUCAGCCACACUGGGACUGAGACACGGCCCAGACUCCUACGGGAGGCAGCAGUGGGGAAUUUUCCGCAAUGGGCGAAAGCCUGACGGAGCAAUGCCGCGUGGAGGUGGAAGGCCUACGGGUCGUCAACUUCUUUUCUCGGAGAAGAAACAAUGACGGUAUCUGAGGAAUAAGCAUCGGCUAACUCUGUGCCAGCAGCCGCGGUAAU
RNAcentral lists this ribosomal RNA (396 nucleotides) under uncultured eukaryote. Its description in RNAcentral is "bacterial SSU rRNA". It matches the Rfam family "Bacterial small subunit ribosomal RNA", at positions 96 to 524 of the family's 1533-position model. The record is from RNAcentral.